UAUGUUAAAUAUGGUGCCACAGUGUGCAAAGCUGUGCUUUAUGCUCCACCUAAAAACUCACCUUUCAACAUACUUACAAAGCUAAACCAAGGAACCCCAUUGAAGUUGAAAUCCAAAGACAAGUAUGAGGUUGUGCUUCAGGCUAAGCCAUUUGCUUAUGCUUCAAAGAAACAUUUUAAAGAAUGUGAGAAGCCCAAGCCUUCACCAACUCCAUACUACUACAAGUCACCUCCUCCUCCGGUGCCAGUUUACAAGUACAACUCACCACCUCCACCGGUCCAUUAUUAUUCUCCUCCGUAUUACUACAAAUCACCACCUCCUCCUGUAAAAACACCGCCACAUCCUUACUAUUACAAGUCUCCACCACCACCAUCACCAUCUCCUCCUCCUCCAUAUUAUUACAAAUCUCCCCCACCUCCUUCACCAUCACCUCCUCCACCUUAUUAUUAUAAAUCUCCUCCUCCACCCAAAGUGAUAUCAAACCCUCCAUACUACUAUAAGUCACCACCUCCACCAUCACCGUCACCUCCUCCACCAUACUACUAUAAGUCCCCACCUCCACCAUCACCAUCUCCACCACCCCCAUACUAUUAUAAGUCACCACCUCCACCAUCACCAUCACCUCCUCCACCAUACUACUAUAAGUCCCCACCUCCACCAUCACCAUCACCUCCUCCACCAUACUACUAUAAGUCCCCACCCCCACCAUCACCAUCCCCACCACCACCUUACUAUUAUAAGUCCCCACCUCCACCCAAAGAGAUUUCACACCCUCCAUACUACUAUAAAUCACCACCCCCACCAUCACCGUCACCUCCUCCACCAUACUACUAUAAGUCCCCACCCCCACCAUCACCAUCCCCACCACCACCUUAUUAUUAUAAGUCUCCACCUCCACCCAAAGAGAUUUCACACCCUCCAUACUAUUAUAAGUCACCACCCCCGCCAUCACCAUCCC
Molecule: long non-coding RNA, 958 nt
Filed under: Cicer arietinum (chickpea)
Lineage: Eukaryota; Viridiplantae; Streptophyta; Magnoliopsida; Fabales; Fabaceae
Description: long non-coding RNA (CARI_LNC001280)
Source: RNAcentral